ACGAACGCUGGCGGCAUGCCUAACACAUGCAAGUCGAACGAGACCUUCGGGUCUAGUGGCGCACGGGUGCGUCACGCGUGGGAACCUGCCCUUAGGUUCGGAAUAACUCCCCGAAAGGGGUGCUAAUACCGGAUAAUGUCUUCGGACCAAAGAUUUAUCGCCUUUGGAUGGGCCCGCGUUGGAUUAGCUAGUUGGUAGGGUAAAAGCCUACCAAGGCGACGAUCCAUAGCUGGUCUGAGAGGAUGAUCAGCCACACUGGGACUGAGACACGGCCCAGACUCCUACGGGAGGCAGCAGUGGGGAAUAUUGGACAAUGGGCGAAAGCCUGAUCCAGCAAUGCCGCGGGAGUGAUGAAGGCCUUAGGGUUGUAAAGCUCUUUUACCCGGGAUGAUAAUGACAGUACCGGGAGAAUAAGCUCCGGCUAACUCCGUG
RNAcentral lists this ribosomal RNA (432 nucleotides) under uncultured bacterium. RNAcentral's name for it is "partial 16S ribosomal RNA". It matches the Rfam family "Bacterial small subunit ribosomal RNA", at positions 29 to 507 of the family's 1533-position model. The record is from RNAcentral.